RNAcentral lists this ribosomal RNA (2148 nucleotides) under Triticum aestivum (bread wheat). RNAcentral's name for it is "partial small subunit ribosomal RNA". Lineage: Eukaryota; Viridiplantae; Streptophyta; Magnoliopsida; Poales; Poaceae. The record is from RNAcentral.
AUGAUAUUUUUAUGUUGUGUAGAUCAUGAGACCACUAAUGUGGGAGAGGCAGGUCGAAACACAGAUGAUUAUUACAGCAAAAGGUUAAAACCAGAGAUAGGAAUGGAAUUUGAGAAUGAAGAUAUAGCAUAUGAGUUUUAUAAUGCAUAUGCAGGACAUGUAGGUUUCAGUGUUAGGAAAUUUUGGCAUGAUAAAUCCUCAACGAAUGUUAUUCGAACAAAGAAAUUUGUAUGCUCAAAGGCAGGUUUCAAGGACAAGAGCAAGGAACAAUGCCAGCGGAAGCGAGCAGAUACAAGAGUUGGAUGUCUGGCAGAGAUGACCAUCAAAAUAAGUGCUAACGAAAAAUAUGUUGUAAGCAGCUUGGAGGAUGCCCAUAAUCAUGAACUCGUAACUCCAAGCAAAUCCCAUCUACUGCGAUCCCAAAGAAGAAUUACAGAAGCUCAAAAGGCCCAGAUUGACAUAUUGAAUGAUUCGGGUAUUAGACCAAAAUCUGGUCAUGAAGUGAUGAGUAGGCAAGCAGGGGGCCGACAAAGUCUUUGCUUCGGUCACAAAGAUUAUAAAAAUUAUCUCCGGUCAAAGCGUAUGCAAUCAAUCCAAGAAGGAGACACAGGUGCCAUUCUUCAAUACCUACAGGAGAAGCAAAUGGAAAAUCCUUCCUUUUUCUAUGCAAUACAAGUAGAUGAAGAGGAUAUGAUGACCAAUAUAUUCUGGGCAGAUGCAAGAUCAAUAUUAGAUUAUCACUACUUUGGUGAUGUGGUAUGCUUUGACACAACCUUUAAGACAAAUAGUUAUGGAAGACCAUUUGCCCCUUUUGUUGGUGUCAACCAUCAUAAACAAACAGUGGUUUUUGGAGCUGCAUUAUUAUAUGAUGAAACAGCUGAUACGUUUGAAUGGUUAUUUGAAACAUUCAAAAGGGCUAUGUCAGGGAAAGAACCAAAAACAAUAUUGACCGACCAAUGUCCUGCCAUUAUUAGUGCCAUUGACAAGGUUUUUACCAAUUCAAUACAUCGUCUAUGUGUGUGGCACAUGUAUCAGAAUGCUGCAAAACAUUUGAGUCAUGUUUUCCAAGGUUCAAAGACAUUUAAGAAAGAUUUUGGCAAGUGUGUUUAUGAUUUUGAAGAAGUUGAUGAUUUCUUAGCAGGUUGGAAUGAUAUGCUAGUGAAAUAUAAUUUGGAAGACAAUGACUGGCUACAUAGAUUAUUUCAGAACAAGGAGAAGUGGGCUUUGGUUUAUGGUCGGCAGACCUUUUGUGCGGAUAUGAAAUCUACGCAAAGAAGCGAGAGUAUGAAUGCACUAUUGAAGCGAUACUUGCAUGUUCGCCUUGAUUUAUUAGAUUUCUUCAAGCACUAUGAGAGGGCCGUGGAUGAUAGAAGGUAUGCUGAAGUAGAAAGUGAUUUCUAUGCGAGUCAAACAUCACCAAAAGUGCCACAUGUGCAGAUGUUGAUUCAAACUUCCAAAGUAUAUACACCUGCUAUGUUCGAGGUAUUUAAAGAAGAAUUUGACAUGGUAAUGGGAUAUUGUGUGUAUGAAAGUGGCCGUGCUGCCUCUAUUUCUGAAUUCAAGGUUACCCAUUCAGCUAGCCAAAAUAGUCAUACAGUGAAAUUUGAUCACGAUGGAUCAAAAGUUUCCUGCUCAUGCAAAAAGUUUGAAUUUAUUGGGGUCUUGUGUCGUCAUGCAUUGAAGGUGUUGGACCACAACAAUAUUAAGGAGUUGGCACCGGAAUAUAUCUUGAAAAGAUGGACAAGGCAAGCAAAAUCAGGGCCAUCAUAUGCAAUUCAAAAGUGCGCUGAUGAUGAAGAUGCUAGAGUUGUGCUAGCUAGGCAGUAUGGAUCACUAUGUCGCACUUACAAUAACAUUUUGAGCAAAGCAGCAGCAAACAAAGAGGCAUAUGCACUACUGCAAAGUAUGUCAAUAGAACUAAUGGAAAAGGUGGACCAGAUUUUACAUGGAAGCAACCAAUCGAAAGAUAUACCAUCAAAUCAUGAACAAGCUGAGAAACAAGCAGAGAAACAGCCAGUUAAAUGCAACAAUGAGAAUGUUGUCCAAGCAAAAGGAAUAAGGAGAAAAGAAAAAGGAAAUAGCAGUAAGAGGAUUAAAUCUGGAUUGGAACUAAACAAAAAGAAUACACACAAGAAAGGUAUGGUAUAG